UCGUGAAUUAAUUUGUCUGAUUUAUUUCGUUAACGAACGAGAUCUUUAACUUCAUUAACGCUUUUAUGGAGUGACUGUGCAUUCAAAUGCAAGGAAGAAAGAGGCAAUAACA
RNAcentral lists this ribosomal RNA (112 nucleotides) under uncultured eukaryote. Its description in RNAcentral is "partial 18S ribosomal RNA". It matches the Rfam family "Eukaryotic small subunit ribosomal RNA", at positions 1299 to 1458 of the family's 1831-position model. The record is from RNAcentral.